UUAGGUUUUGUGCGCGCGUCGCAUUGCUUCCGUGAAUCUUCCCCGUUAUUGCACUCUGAUUCGAAGGGUUAUGAUGAAGAGAUAUGUUUGCUGGGAGUGGACUGUGAGAGAAAAAAAUGAUGUCUUCAUCUUUGAUUGUGGUUGUCUCUGUCGCUAUGUCUCCCAAAACCUAGGGAUUCAACUCGGAUCUCCAUAAUAUGCUCAUGUUGUCAAAGUGAGAAAUUGGAAAGGCCAGUUGAACAUACCUGAUCCAGCAAAUAUGAGCGAUGACAACAUCACAAGGAGUUAUCAUCAUCACCAUCAUGGAGCCACAAGAGAAUCAUCAUCAAGGAGUUAUCCCUAACAGACAGAAAAGGUCGAUCUGAAAAAUACAGUUGCUGAUGAGAGCCAAAGACAGUGGAAUGAUCAAGAGACUUCCUCCACAUUAAGGAAGGAAAAAUCUAGUGAAGGAAGUGCAAGUGAUCUAAGGAUGACAACGAGAGAAAUGAUGCUGCAGAAGAAGAAAUAGAUGAUGAAGACAAUGCCUUUUUUGACACCUGCGAUUUUCUAUCGUCC
This is a non-coding RNA of Arachis ipaensis, 555 nucleotides long. NCBI's taxonomy places the organism in Eukaryota, Viridiplantae, Streptophyta, Magnoliopsida, Fabales, Fabaceae. The record is from RefSeq and is a predicted model, not a curated record.